Molecule: long non-coding RNA, 696 nt
Organism: Salvia splendens (bonfire salvia)
Lineage: Eukaryota; Viridiplantae; Streptophyta; Magnoliopsida; Lamiales; Lamiaceae
Exons: 2
Source: RefSeq, a predicted model, not a curated record
CCAAGACUCUCGACCCCUAUAUCUUGUGCAAUUCUUCACAACUCAACAUUGUAAUUAAUAGCCAAAGAUAAUGGUGAAAUCUUCUAUUUUGGGGUUGCUCGAUUGGGAUGGAGGACAAGUAGGAGGAUCCAUUCGUGCGUUUGGUAUGGGCGGAAUUGGAAAACAAAUUUGGCCAUUGAUAGUAUAUUGUGUCGAUUGCCUAGACCAAUCAUCUUCAAAAAGGAAAAAAGUCGUGAACAACAACUUGGUGAUUUUAAUGGCCACCAAAGGUCGUUGUUUAUCACUUAAAGUCAUGCUUCCUCCAUCAUACCUCGUAGCAGCAGCUGCCAUCCAAGGGUUCAAACUCAUGCUACUUAAUUUUACUUAUAUUUUUUCUUUUCAAUUAUGAGUUUUGAGAUUCGCUCAAUUUUAUUGAUAAAAUAGUUAAGAAUUUCUAUUGGUGUAGAAAUUUGUGGUUGAAAUAAAUGUUGGUUGAUGAGUUAAUUAGUGAUAAAGUCUUGGAUAAUUAAAGGGUGUAAUCUUGUCUUUGAUUCUUUGUAAAGUCCUACAUAUGGAGGCGGUGAAACUGUAAUUCUGACAGCAAGUCGGCCUCUAAAGCCUGCUAUUACAUGAGUCAUGAGAUGAUUUUUUGUUAUGUCCAUAAAUUUCCAAGUGCUAUAUCACUUCAUUCAGUGCUUCUUUUUCAUUUUACACCCA